CACCGAAGAGGCAACAUGUAAGCUGUCACACUGAGAAAGGAACCAAACGAAGGUUGUCAGAAUCGAAACCAAAUGCCUUUGCCCACUGAGCCAUCAUCUUACCAGCCUGAAGCCAAGGUCUUUUGAGGAUACUGACCUUCAUUAGUGACAGCAGCCCAUGUCUCCUCCACACCCUUCCGUCUGGACCUGCCACAGCAGGAGCCUCCCCACCCCACCCUGAGGCCCUUAUCUGAGUCAUUCUACCCUCCCCUCCCCCACCUCUGGGGUCCAAUAGAUUAUCCCAGCCAGGUGGCAGAGGAAAGCAGCCACAAGCUGCCAACCACAUUUGUCCAGGCUCUGUCCUCCACCCAGAAGGAAGGCAAGCGUCAACAUAAGUCCACAUAAAGAAAAGAAGGAGGAAGAGCACCAUGGCCCCAGAAAAGUCUUCAUUGUCUCAGACUGGAAACCAAGUCUCACUGAGGAAACAAAGUUUUCGAGACAAAUUCUCACUCUGCAGCUCAGGCUGGCCUGGAACUCAAUAUGUAGUCUCAGUCAGCCUCCUGAGUGUUGAUAUUAUAAGGAUGAACCACACUGCCUACUUAGUUUUGAGGUUUUAAGAGUUAUUUAUUAUUUUUAUUUUAUGUGUAUGAGUGUUUGCCUGAAUGUAUGUAAGUGCACCAUGUGCAUGCAGUGUCCUUAGAAGCAAGAAGAGGGCUUUGGAUUCCCUGAAACUGAAAUUGCAGCUGUUUAAGAACUGUACCAGUACUGCACCUAGAUCCUCUGCAAGGUCAUCAAGUGUUUGAGCUUGAUCCUGGGACCCACAUGGUAGAAGGAGAGAACCAACUCUUACAAGUUGUCCUCUGAUCUCCACACAUAAGUAAAUAAGCUUGGAGGUUGUGGCACACACCUUUAAUCCUAGCACUUGGGAGGCAGAGGCAGACUGAUCUCUGAGUUUGAGGCCAUCCUGGUUUAAACACAAAAAACAGCAACUAACCAUACAUGCAUUGUAAAUUAUAAUUCCAGCACUUGAGGAGUGGAAGGUAGAGGAUUAGAAGUUCAGGGUCAGCAUAGACUACAUGAGACUCAGUCUCAAUUUUAAAAUAAAGAGAGAGAGAAAGGAAUGUGUGUGUGUGUGUGUGUGUGUGUGUGUGUGUGUGUGUGUUUUGUUGAGAUGGUUUUCAGUGAAUAAAUCUACAGAGACAUCAGUACCAAUUUGAUGUGGGAGAAUUGUCUGUAUUCUGGUCAAUCAUAUUUUAAUAAAACGCUGAUUGGCCAGGCAGGCAGUAUAGGCGG
Myodes glareolus (Bank vole) is the source of this 1272-nucleotide non-coding RNA. NCBI's taxonomy places the organism in Eukaryota, Metazoa, Chordata, Mammalia, Rodentia, Cricetidae. The record is from RefSeq and is a predicted model, not a curated record.